This 74-nucleotide non-coding RNA is filed under the name unclassified sequences. RNAcentral describes it as "freshwater-2 RNA". It matches the Rfam family "freshwater-2 RNA". Rfam says of the family: Aquatic, esp. fresh water. The record is from RNAcentral.
AAUCGUAGUUUACGAUAUUAUGCAGAAUCCCUCUGCGUAGACCUAGAACGUCAUAUUUAAGGAGAAAACAAAUG